Molecule: long non-coding RNA, 4089 nt
Organism: Manis pentadactyla (Chinese pangolin)
Lineage: Eukaryota; Metazoa; Chordata; Mammalia; Pholidota; Manidae
Exons: 3
Source: RefSeq, a predicted model, not a curated record
GCUGCAACCACUUGCCCAAGGGGCAGCCUUGGCCUCUGGCUGCAGCUUAUCCUGCCCCUUGGGCGCGGUGGGCAUGAGAUGUCUGGCGCUCAAAUGCAAAUCCAGACCUAGCUUAUUAGAAACAACCCUCGCAACACUUCGCACGCCAAUCACUGCUUCACACCGGAGCCAAGCGGCCUUGAACAUGCGUCCCUGACAGAUGCCCAUGUAGACUGGCAGGCGACUCGCUUCAAGAACCAGGAGGGGAACAGGCAGGGAGGCAGGGGAGAAAUGAGAAGGGAAUCGGCGGCUCCAGGGAAAAAGACGCUAUGGCCCCCAAGGCACACCCCGCGCCACCAGGUGCCCUUCCUAUACCACGCAAGAGGAGUGACCAUACAGCCACUGACUGAAGGGUCUCUAAACUCCACGCGUUCCGUCAUUCUUGGGGUUUCUUCGAUACAUUCAUCUUCUACUCUUGCUGAAGAGAGAAGAGGGAAUUGGAACACAAGGAAUGAGCAGCUGUGGUCCGGUGUCUGCCCGCCUCACAGCUGAACUCUCAGUUUGCUCAGGAGUUCACCCACUGAGGUGGGAGUGGCGGCGGGCAUAGUCUGCAUGUUUGCAUGGGGCAGGCGGCGACUGUCAUUUCCGCCACAGCUGGGCCUGGGCAGAGACUAGAGAUCCGUACGCAGCCGGGGUAUUACAGAUCACCCGAGAUGAGGAACAACGUUAGCUCCCUCACACAGCCCUCUACAGUAGACCAGUACUGGCGCCUGGGUGAGUUCGCACUACUGCUCCAGCGGCUGGCGCGCCCGGGUCGGGUGGCUGGAGCUCCCCUCCACGCCUCGCGGCGGGCCCAGAAAGCACUCUUGGCGCCGGGAAGAGGACGGUGCUGGCUGAAAGAUCUCAGUCCGCAGCUUAUGCCUUAGACCUGCAGGCCAACAAGUCUCCGCUGUGAGCCUGAACAAAUUGCUGCGCGAUACUUAAAGCUGCGGCAUCCAUGCUCCACCCGAGCCCAGAACUUUGGCAGAAAUCGGAGAAGCUCAGGCGAGCUGCAAACUCAGACUGGUCCUCAUGCGCAACAUGUGCCUUUAUUCACUUGGCCAAGUCUUGUAUUUCAAGAUUCGUCAAUUUCUGAUCAAGGAUGUGGUACACUUCUGUCUGUUGCUGUAAUAAUCAUGCUUAUCUUGGUCAGAGCACAUUGUCAUACUGUACUUAAAUUAUCUGCUUAUACAUAUAGAUGUGAGUCUUUCUCCCACACACUUCAUUCUAAGAUUCUCUAUACUGUAACAUAUAUCCUGAGUAGAGUACACCAUAAUUUAUUUCUCAUCGCUCUUCAUUGGGUAGUUGCAAUGUGCCAGGCACUAAUGCUAAGGGCUUGAGAUAGAGGGAUAAGGAAAAUCAGUCACAGCCUCUGCCCUCCUGAAGCUACCUUAAGAGAGAAGGAAGCAAUCAACUAACACGAACUUACAAUGAUAAACCUUGCUGAAAGGAAGUACAGGAAACUUACACAUUCAUAGGCUCCUUGAAUGCAGACAGAAGGAGCCAAUGUAAUUGUAGCUGCAUGGCAUAAAUUUAGGAAAAAAUAUUGGUCAAUAAUCAAAGAGGGAAAAAAGCACCUACAUGUGCUGGGGAUGUAGCUCAGUGGUAGAGCGCAUGCUUUGCAUGUAUGAAGCCCCAGGUCCAGCCCCAGUAUCUCCAGUUUAGCUAAAUUUUGGACUAGGAAUCCCAACUUAUCGGGAGCCGGUCCAAACCACCAGCCUGAUGACACAGUCUGGGCAGUUGGAUGGAAGGGACUGCACAGCGGCCUUCCCAGAGGAGCAACCCCGAUAUCUCUCCUGCUCAAAAUGCCCCUCCUAAUAAAUUUGCUUAUUUCGGUUUCAAUUCAAGCUACCCCUUCAGGGAAGAGGCCAUAUCCAAUUGUCCCUGAAAAUUUUUGAGUACUGGCCCUUAAGGAAAUUGGAAAAAACCACUACUGCCCUUGUGACUACCGCCGGUGAUGGGAAAGUGAGACCCCAUGAGAAUUGGACCCAAGCUUAUGGGAAAAAAAGAUACGGAAAAUUUACAUGGGUCGAGGUUCCCUCCUCCGCCCCUAUGUGCAUUCAAUGACUAAUGGUGACAGGUGGAUACAUAGAACAAAUGAUAUUCUUUGGCUAGCCCACCAAAGAACAACCUGGCAAACUAUAAAACAAAUGAGAACAGGGCGUUACCUAACUCCAUAUCAGAAAAAUCUCCAUUGUAAGUCUUACUGCAAAUGGGUUCAAGGCACAGUCCAUAAAAUUUCUCCCUGCCUGCGAAAAAGUCAUCAUGUCCUUUUAGAGAAAGCCUCUUUCUUUCCUACCAGAGAUGAAGAAUGGGUGUAUAGCUAUGAAAGAAUGAAGGCCCUACAUAAAAACAAUAGAAUACUGAACAUUAGAUAGUCAUCUGUAAAGAAACCAAGAGUCUGGCACCUACCUAACCUUUGUUAAGAUUUUCUGGCGGUAAUAACUAAGAACAAAGCUUACUUAGAAACAAGUUAACUGCUAAGACCUGUCAAAUGAUUUAAUUUCAUUCUCCAAACUCGUAACGGUGCCAUGUGUCAAUUAAAUGAUUAAUAACUGUACUUUACUUUAUGUAAUCAAAGAGUAUAUAAUCAAGCUGCUACUUUUCAUUAAAGGCUAGGCUCAGCUUUUGCUAGUGUCUGUGUCCUCAUUCAUUUUCGCCGAUGCUGUUCCUCUUUCAGGGAUUCCUGGACUCGCCAGAGCUGUACUCAGGCACCAACUCAGUUUUCUUUCCUUAAUCCUUGGCAAGCUUUUCUGCAGAUCACACUUGUUCUGGCAUACAAGCUGUUGACCUAAGGAAUGCUGCAAUGAACAAAUUGAAGACUGAUGCCACACUGACCAUACAACCUCAUGAUUAUUUUUGUGUUCUGUGACAGGGUAACCACUGCACAUUUACAAGUAAUUUAAAUGCAUGAUAACUCUGUAUCACCUUUCAAAGUCUUAGUUUGAAAAAGAAGUGCAGAUGCUUAAAUGAAGCCUCCUUGCUGCCAAUGCUGGGACUUCUUGCUUUGCAUGCUGUUCCAUCAACAAUUUGGUUGUGAGGGAGAAUAAUGCGCUGGUGUGUAUCCCACUCAGUGAUGUUAUCUUGCAAUAACACUAGGAUCUUUGCCACAGGGAAAUCCUUCACUCUAACAUUCCUUAUUUCUGGUUUUGCUUUGAAGCCAACUGUUUUUAAAUAAUAUAUACCAUAGAAUAUACAUAAGCUCAGGAUGGACUAUUGGUACAGGUUACAAUAGGCCUUUUUUAAUCAUGGGAACUGGUUCUGAAGAAAAAAUUGCUUCUCAUAUAAAAGCUACAUACAUAAACUUGCUCUUCAAAUUUGCUCCAUUGUGGCUGCCCUUUUAGUAGGCAAAGGAGUCAUUGCUAUGUUUCUAUGGUUGAUACUUUGGUUCUGUUCUUUCAUAAUAACUACUUACAUGACCCAAUAUUAAUAAGAAAUAACAACCCAAAACAUCUUUUUUCCCUAUUAAGCAUACAGAAAGUUAAUUGUCAUCAUCACCUCACCUUUAUCACCAUCAUUUCAUUGUCACAUGUUGGAACACAAGACUUUAACAAGAAUAAUCCAUUAAGUUAAAAAAAGUGAGAGAUAAUCUUGAAUACAUCAAAAUUAAGUAUUUCUUUAGUUUUAGAGAAACUAAAGAUUUCAAAUGUCUUAAAAAUAAAGGAUACCUUAGCAAAAAUUAACACAUUGAUGACUGUGAUCAUUAAUUUUUGUAUCAACUUGACUGGGCCAAAGGAUGCCCAGAUAUUUGAUUAAACAUUAUCUCUGGGUGUGUGUGUGUGUGUGUGAGGUUCCAGAAGAGAUUACCUUUUGAAUUGGUAAACUGAGUAAAUCAAAUAAUCCCAGUGUGGAUGGGUAUCAUCCAAUCUGGUAAUGGCCAGAAUUAUCAACAAGGCUGAAAGAAAGGUUGAGUUCACCAUCUGUCUGCCUGGCUGUUGCAGCUGGAACAUUGAUUUUUUCCCUUCAGGACUCUUGGUGCCAGGCAUUCAGACUCUGACUGGAAUCUACAUUGGCCCUUGUCUCUCAGGCAUUCAAACUACACCAUACGUAUGUGAUAGAUAUAACCUAUUU